GGGGAUCUAGCUCAGUGGUAGAGCGCUUGCCUAGCAAGCACAAGGCCCUGGGUUCGGUCCCCA
Non-coding RNA from Rattus norvegicus (Norway rat), 63 nucleotides. Lineage: Eukaryota; Metazoa; Chordata; Mammalia; Rodentia; Muridae. The record is from Rfam.